This 925-nucleotide long non-coding RNA is filed under the name Junco hyemalis (dark-eyed junco). RNAcentral's name for it is "lncRNA (ENSJHYG00000001037.1)". The record is from RNAcentral. Lineage: Eukaryota; Metazoa; Chordata; Aves; Passeriformes; Passerellidae.
GCGUGGGUGGCCUGGCUCCUGGAGUAGGUGGCCUGGUUCCUGGCGUAGGUGGCCUGGUUCCUGGUGUUGGAGGUGUCCCAGGUGAGGAGGAGGAAGGCAAGGGUGAGAGCAGCCUGGCAGGUGUGGGGGCAGUUGUGGGGGCAGGACAGGCUUGAGGAGAACCUCAGCAGUGUCCCUGGGGGGCUGCAGACAGGGCCUGAAGGAUGGGCUCUGCCCAGGUUUGCUGUGAGGCCUUCCCAGGGUCUGACCCCCCUCUGCUGUCUCUGCCCAGGUGUUGGAGGUCCUGCAGCAGCAGCCAAAGCAGCAGCCAAGGCAGCCAAAUUUGGUGCCGGGGUUGGAGGGGUGCCAGGGGUGGUGCCUGGCGUGGGCGGAGUGCCCGGAGUGGCACCCGGUGUUGGUGGCGUGCCCGGCUUGGUGCCAGGGGUGGGAGUACCUGGAACUGGCAUCCUUCCCGGGGCAGGCAUCCCCCAAGUAGGGGUGCAGCCUGGUGCUAAACCUCCCAAAUUCGGUGUUCCUGGGGUUGGAGUCCCAGGGGUUGGUGGCCUCCCAGGUGGCCUUGGCGUCGGUGGGCUCGGAGUUGGUGGUCUCGGUGGGGUCGGCGGCCUGGGAUUCGGCGGGAAACCCCCCAAGCCCUACGGAGGAGCUCUGGGUGCCCUGGGCUUUAGAGGCGCGGGCUGCGCGGCAGGGAAGUACUGCGGGAGGAAGCGGAAGUAACGCUCCGUCACCGAUCACCUCAUGAACUUUGGUGCUACUGCAUGGUCCAGAAUGUAAAUCCGAAGCAAAGCUGAGACACCCUCUCCUCCAGCCCCGGAGCCCCCCGUCCAUCCCGGGGCCGUUCCCCGGCAGCGCCCGGCCCCCCCCCGGCCCUCGGUCCCGGCAGGGAGCGCGGAAUAAACUGCGGGGAGCAGCCGUCCCCCUUGGUGCU